CGCCCAGUUUUCCCCCUUCAUCAUAAACCCAAAAUUCCCCUCGUUCUCAAAACCUAAACUGAAUCAACAUCCUUCUAUCACCCUCUUUUUUUUUUCUCUGUCGCUCUCAAUCUUCCCUACCGCAACAACUCAGAGGUUGCUUCCACCAUUCAAAUCGUCUGUUGUGGGGCUGCUCCGGCGGUGGUGAUGUUUAGGGCCGGCUCAGGAUGUAAAUGAAGUGAAGCGGUCGCUGGGGGAUCUCAAUUUUUCUUAGGGUUUUUGAGUUCUUGAUAAUAGUUAUUCAGUGAAAGGGAUAAUAAAGUCGCUUGGAGGUUCUUUGCAGACUUGGCAAGUCAAAAAUUCUAUUUCACAAUAGUUAGUCGUUGAAGUGUGAAGGAGCAUGCUUCAACUCCAAACAAGUCUCAAUCUAGUGCCAGAUGACACUCAACUUGCUGUCAUAUGUAUAAAUCAAAGCAUUUUUCCAAAUGAGGUUCAAUUUACUUGAAAGCCAUGGGCCACUACCAAUCACAGCUUCUUGACCUUGUGUUUCAUGGGAGUAAGCCACUACCCUUGUCCAUUCGAGCAGCUCUCAAAUCCCUAAUUGAGCAGGUAGAAGAAGCUUAGCAGCAGUGGCGUGUGGCGUUUACUAAAACGAAAGACAAGCUGAAAAUUUUGUUUAAUGAACGAUGAAAAGAGGCGAACAUAGAAGAAAUCAAAUCUGGUUUAUAGACAAAGAGAGUGUACAAGGGAUCGAGAGUUUGGUUUCAUAUGCAAUUGCACAGAUGCAACAACUUAGUUCUAAUCUUCCCGAGGGCUCGAUCGAUAAGCCUGGACCAGAUGAUGUUUUUUUCUAAAGUAAUGGGUAAUGAUCGAAAUGGUGAUGCCGUUAUAUAUGGUCUGGGUGUUCGUGCUGCUGAUGUUUGGGGUGUAAUACCAAGUCAUUCGGCAUGUCAUAGAGAAAACAUCCAAUUGAAGUCUCAAUGUGAAGAACUUACUAGUACUGUGGUCCAGUUACGAGCCCAAGUAUUAGAGAUGGAAGGGUCGAGGGGUGGUUCUAGUGUUCAACCUCUUGCAUCACAACAUUUCCCCAAUGUAACCAAUGGACAUCAACGUUUACGGGUCAGAGAUGAAGUUUUUCUCAAAAGCAUUCUAAACUCUACCGAUACUGUAGCAAGAGGAAGGGUCCAGAGCUUGGACCCAAUGAUCUAGUUGGUGGUACAAAGAUUGGACCAAAAUGGUGUGAGGUAAACGUUCAAGUACCAAUAAAAAAAGAUGAAAACUUGGUAAGACCAUAUGGUUUAUUUUCUACAAUUCAAGAUUGUAUUGGUGCAUCCAUCGCAUGGCCCUAUCCAUUCAUCUCGGUAGUCCAUGAUGAUUGAGGACGCAUGAUGACUCAAGAUUUUAUGCUUCUUAUUUCUUUAAUUGCUCUUAAUUUCUUUGUUAAAUGUUAAGACUUUAUGUUAAAUAAUGUUAUAACUUAUUAUGGUUAGUGCUUUUGUUAUAAACAUGCUUAUGUGAAAUAUAAUGAAGUUUUAUUUCUUUCA
Helianthus annuus (common sunflower) is the source of this 1523-nucleotide RNA transcript. RefSeq lists it as uncharacterized. The record is from RefSeq and is a predicted model, not a curated record. Lineage: Eukaryota; Viridiplantae; Streptophyta; Magnoliopsida; Asterales; Asteraceae. The transcript has 8 exons.